Molecule: ribosomal RNA, 468 nt
Filed under: uncultured bacterium
Lineage: Bacteria
Description: partial 16S ribosomal RNA
Rfam family: Bacterial small subunit ribosomal RNA
Source: RNAcentral
GACGAACGCUGGCGGCGUGCUUAACACAUGCAAGUCGAACGGAAAGGCCCUGCUUUUGUGGGGUGCUCGAGUGGCGAACGGGUGAGUAACACGUGAGUAACCUGCCCUUGACUUUGGGAUAACUUCAGGAAACUGGGGCUAAUACCGGAUAGGAGCUCCUGCUGCAUGGUGGGGGUUGGAAAGUUUCGGCGGUUGGGGAUGGACUCGCGGCUUAUCAGCUUGUUGGUGGGGUAGUGGCUUACCAAGGCUUUGACGGGUAGCCGGCCUGAGAGGGUGACCGGGGACAUUGGGACUGAGAUACGGCCCAGAAUCCUACGGGAGGCAGCAGUGGGGAAUAUUGCAGAAUGGGCGGAAGCCUGAUGCAGCAACGCCGCGUGCGGGAUGACGGCCUUCGGGUUGUAAACCGCUUUCGCCUGUGACGAAGCGUGAGUGACGGUAAUGGGUAAAGAAGCACCGGCUAACUACGUG